RNAcentral lists this ribosomal RNA (484 nucleotides) under uncultured bacterium. RNAcentral's name for it is "partial 16S ribosomal RNA". It matches the Rfam family "Bacterial small subunit ribosomal RNA", at positions 30 to 507 of the family's 1533-position model. The record is from RNAcentral.
AUUGAACGCUGGCUGCAGGCCUAACACAUGCAAGUCGAGCGGUAGAGAGAAGCUUGCUUCUCUUGAGAGCGGCGGACGGGUGAGUAAUGCCUAGGAAUCUGCCUGGUAGUGGGGGAUAACGUUCGGAAACGGACGCUAAUACCGCAUACGUCCUACGGGAGAAAGCAGGGGACCUUCGGGCCUUGCGCUAUCAGAUGAGCCUAGGUCGGAUUAGCUAGUUGGUGGGGUAAUGGCUCACCAAGGCGACGAUCCGUAACUGGUCUGAGAGGAUGAUCAGUCACACUGGAACUGAGACACGGUCCAGACUCCUACGGGAGGCAGCAGUGGGGAAUAUUGGACAAUGGGCGAAAGCCUGAUCCAGCCAUGCCGCGUGUGUGAAGAAGGUCUUCGGAUUGUAAAGCACUUUAAGUUGGGAGGAAGGGUUGUAGAUUAAUACUCUGCAAUUUUGACGUUACCGACAGAAUAAGCACCGGCUAACUCUGUG